GCCCGAAUGGUCUAGUGGUAUGAUUCAUGCUUCGGGUAUCCUUGGGUAUCCUCGCUCCAUGCAAAGGAGUCGUUCCUGACUGUGUGAGGUCUUGGGUUCAAUUCCCAAUUCGGGCC
This is a non-coding RNA of Talaromyces proteolyticus, 116 nucleotides long. NCBI's taxonomy places the organism in Eukaryota, Fungi, Ascomycota, Eurotiomycetes, Eurotiales, Trichocomaceae. The record is from the annotation of a RefSeq genome assembly.